RNAcentral lists this transfer RNA (87 nucleotides) under Halieaceae bacterium. RNAcentral describes it as "tRNA-Leu". It matches the Rfam family "tRNA". Rfam says of the family: Transfer RNA (tRNA) molecules are approximately 80 nucleotides in length. Their secondary structure includes four short double-helical elements and three loops (D, anti-codon, and T loops). Lineage: Bacteria; Pseudomonadati; Pseudomonadota; Gammaproteobacteria; Cellvibrionales; Halieaceae. The record is from RNAcentral.
GCCCGGGUGGUGAAAUUGGUAGACACAGGAGACUUAAAAUCUCCCGACUUAACAGUCGUGCCGGUUCGAUUCCGGCCUCGGGCACCA